RNAcentral lists this ribosomal RNA (429 nucleotides) under Chloroflexota bacterium. Its description in RNAcentral is "Chloroflexi bacterium partial 16S ribosomal RNA". It matches the Rfam family "Bacterial small subunit ribosomal RNA", at positions 355 to 776 of the family's 1533-position model. RNAcentral also lists the same sequence under 1 other name. The record is from RNAcentral. Lineage: Bacteria; Bacillati; Chloroflexota.
UGGGGAAUAUUGCACAAUGGGCGCAAGCCUGAUGCAGCCAUGCCGCGUGUAUGAAGAAGGCCUUCGGGUUGUAAAGUACUUUCAGCGGGGAGGAAGGGAGUAAAGUUAAUACCUUUGCUCAUUGACGUUACCCGCAGAAGAAGCACCGGCUAACUCCGUGCCAGCAGCCGCGGUAAUACGGAGGGUGCAAGCGUUAAUCGGAAUUACUGGGCGUAAAGCGCACGCAGGCGGUUUGUUAAGUCAGAUGUGAAAUCCCCGGGCUCAACCUGGGAACUGCAUCUGAUACUGGCAAGCGUGAGUCUCGUAGAGGGGGGUAGAAUUCCAGGUGUAGCGGUGAAAUGCGUAGAGAUCUGGAGGAAUACCGGUGGCGAAGGCGGCCCCCUGGACGAAGACUGACGCUCAGGUGCGAAAGCGUGGGGAGCAAACAGG